Vicia villosa (hairy vetch) is the source of this 368-nucleotide long non-coding RNA. RefSeq lists it as uncharacterized. The transcript has 2 exons. NCBI's taxonomy places the organism in Eukaryota, Viridiplantae, Streptophyta, Magnoliopsida, Fabales, Fabaceae. The record is from RefSeq and is a predicted model, not a curated record.
GAAAAUAAUAAAAGAAAAUUUUGAACAAUGGCCUUCGUUUAUAUCAAUCGAUCUUCUUUUUGUUUGAUUUUGAUCAUUUCAAUGAUUUUUCUUUCAGGAUUAUCAACUGGUGAGUAUAGUCUUUUGGAUUCAGAAUGUCUAGAUGGUGAAUGCAAGAUCACAAAAUGCAUUCAAGAUUGUCAUGAUAAAGGCUAUAAGAAUGGUGGUUACUGUCGUAUAUAUAUUUAUAAGGGUUUGCGUUGUUGUUGUCGUCCUUGAGUCAUUGAAUCAAUCAAUAAAAACUAAAUAAAUAAAAGGCAUAUCUUAUGUAUGUUCAGAAAUAAAGUUUGUAAGAAUAUAUAUUAUGAAAAAUAAAAGAUAUCUUUUAA